GACGAACGCUGGCGGCGUGCUUAACACAUGCAAGUCGAACGGAAAGGCCCUGCUUUUGUGGGGUGCUCGAGUGGCGAACGGGUGAGUAACACGUGAGUAACCUGCCCUUGACUUUGGGAUAACUUCAGGAAACUGGGGCUAAUACCGGAUAGGAGCUCCUGCUGCAUGGUGGGGGUUGGAAAGUUUCGGCGGUUGGGGAUGGACUCGCGGCUUAUCAGCUUGUUGGUGGUGUAGUGGCUUACCAAGGCUUUGACGGGUAGCCGGCCUGAGAGGGUGACCGGCCACAAUGGGACUGAGAUACGGCCCAGACUCCUACGGGAGGCAGCAGUGGGGAAUAUUGCACAAUGGGCGGAAGCCUGAUGCAGCAACGCCGCGUGCGGGAUGACGGCCUUCGGGUUGUAAACCGCUUUCGCCUGUGACGAAGCGUGAGUGACGGUAAUGGGUAAAGAAGCACCGGCUAACUACGUG
Molecule: ribosomal RNA, 468 nt
Filed under: uncultured bacterium
Lineage: Bacteria
Description: partial 16S ribosomal RNA
Rfam family: Bacterial small subunit ribosomal RNA
Source: RNAcentral